CCUACGGGCGGCAGCAGUGAGGAAUAUUGGUCAAUGGUCGGAAGCCUGAACCAGCCAAGUAGCGUGCGAGAUGAAGGUCCUGCGGAUCGUAAACCGCUUUUGCACGGGGAUAACACCCUCCACUUGUCGACGUCUGCAGGUACCGUACGAAUAAGCGCCGGCUAAUUCCGUGCCAGCAGCCGCGGUAAUACGGAAGGUCCGAGCGUUAUCCGGAUUCAUUGGGGUUAAAGGGUGCGUAGGCGGGCGUUCAAGUCAGCGGUAAAAGCGCGCGGCUCAACCGCGCCCCGCAGUUGAAACUGGAAGUCUUGAGUUGACAAGAGGCAGGCGGAAUGCGUGGUGUAGCGGUGAAAUGCAUAGAUAUCACGAGGAACCCCGAUUGCGAAGGCAGCAUGCCGGGGCGAGACUGACGCUGAGGCUCGAAGGUGCGGGUAUCGAACAGGAUUAGAUACCCGAGUAGUC
RNAcentral lists this ribosomal RNA (459 nucleotides) under uncultured bacterium. RNAcentral describes it as "partial 16S ribosomal RNA". It matches the Rfam family "Bacterial small subunit ribosomal RNA", at positions 338 to 795 of the family's 1533-position model. The record is from RNAcentral.